GAUGAGAGGGUAAUAUGGUAUGAUAUCCAUCACCACAUUGAUUGCCAGGGUUGAUUUGACUGAUCUGGCUGGCUAAGCAGGUGUUCCCUUCCAUUCCCCAACUC
This 104-nucleotide small RNA is filed under the name Urocitellus parryii (Arctic ground squirrel). Its description in RNAcentral is "7SK RNA (ENSUPAG00010000832.1)". It matches the Rfam family "7SK RNA", at positions 2 to 107 of the family's 331-position model. From Rfam's summary of the family: 7SK was discovered as an abundant small nuclear RNA in the mid-70s but a possible function has only recently been suggested. Two independent studies have found that 7SK RNA binds the CDK9/cyclin T complex (known as elongation factor P-TEFb). P-TEFb activates transcription by phosphorylating the C-terminal domain of RNA polymerase II. Lineage: Eukaryota; Metazoa; Chordata; Mammalia; Rodentia; Sciuridae. The record is from Rfam by way of RNAcentral.